GAUCUUUAUUUCCUUGUAACUGCUUAUCAGGUGGAUCAGGUUCCAAGUUAACCCUUUCCUCUUUUGGCUGAAAGUUAUCAGCUGAAUCACUCCUUAAUUCUUCUAGAAAUAUAGCACCAUCUGAUUCCAUAGACUCCCCAUAGAAUGAACCACCAUGGUGUAUCUUGUUAUAUCUCUUCAUGUGCCUUAGAAUUACUUCCGUCUUGCUGCUGUGAAGGGAUUAUUUUGCGAAGCUGCUCUAUGUCUGGCCAUCCAUAGGAGAAUUUCCAACAACUUCAUGCUCCAAUUCCUCCAAAAUUUCCAUACGUGAUACUUCAUUUUCUGUCCACUUGACAUAUGGAGACCCAUGUAAAUACGAUAUCUUAUUCAUUUCAAUAGGCUGAACAGAAGGUCUUGGAGUUUGAUCAUUUGUAUUUAAAUAAGAAGGUUUCAAGAGACUAGCAUAUUGGAUUUUGUUCUCAGUA
This is a long non-coding RNA of Lycium ferocissimum, 464 nucleotides long. RefSeq lists it as uncharacterized. The transcript has 3 exons. Lineage: Eukaryota; Viridiplantae; Streptophyta; Magnoliopsida; Solanales; Solanaceae. The record is from RefSeq and is a predicted model, not a curated record.